UCCCUGGUGGUUCAGACAGUAAAGAAUCUGCCCGCAAUGCAGGAGGCCUGGGUUCGACCCCUGGCUGGGGAA
Molecule: transfer RNA, 72 nt
Filed under: Ovis aries (sheep)
Lineage: Eukaryota; Metazoa; Chordata; Mammalia; Artiodactyla; Bovidae
Rfam family: tRNA
About the family: Transfer RNA (tRNA) molecules are approximately 80 nucleotides in length. Their secondary structure includes four short double-helical elements and three loops (D, anti-codon, and T loops).
Source: Rfam by way of RNAcentral